RNAcentral lists this small nuclear RNA (333 nucleotides) under Chinchilla lanigera (long-tailed chinchilla). RNAcentral describes it as "7SK RNA (ENSCLAG00000022063.1)". It matches the Rfam family "7SK RNA". From Rfam's summary of the family: 7SK was discovered as an abundant small nuclear RNA in the mid-70s but a possible function has only recently been suggested. Two independent studies have found that 7SK RNA binds the CDK9/cyclin T complex (known as elongation factor P-TEFb). P-TEFb activates transcription by phosphorylating the C-terminal domain of RNA polymerase II. The record is from Rfam by way of RNAcentral. Lineage: Eukaryota; Metazoa; Chordata; Mammalia; Rodentia; Chinchillidae.
GGAUGUGGGGGCGAUCUGGCUGCGACAUCUGUCACCCCACUGAUCACCAGGGUUGAUUCGGCUGAUCUGGCUGGCUAGGCGGGAGUCCCCUUCCUUGCUCAACGCUCCAGGUACAAACCUCCUGAAGCUGUGCACUUGGUCAAAGGGGAUGACCACCCCGACAGAGAGGGCACUCCUCAGUCAAGGGUAUAGGAGGAACUGUGUCUGUCCCCCGCUAGAACCUCCAAACAAGCGCUCAAAGAUAAUUUAAAAAUUUCAUUUGAGGAAGGGUUGGAGAUAUUAUCAGAGUAAUUUGCUUCUACCCUCCCGAUUGUUAAUGGCAUUUAUUUAGAG